Chelonoidis abingdonii (Abingdon island giant tortoise) is the source of this 2077-nucleotide long non-coding RNA. RefSeq lists it as uncharacterized. The record is from RefSeq and is a predicted model, not a curated record. NCBI's taxonomy places the organism in Eukaryota, Metazoa, Chordata, Testudines, Testudinidae.
CGUGGUAAGAUUUUUUGGCUCCUGAGGACAGCGUUAUAUUGGGGUAGAUAUGUAGUUGCAUUUUACCCAACAUCACAUUCACUGUGCAGUGAUGCAAGUAAGUACACAGGGACCAGGACGGUGGAGAACAGGGCCAGGAGGGGCAGCUAGAAUCAGAAAAGGCACUGUAUAAAUGAGGGGACAGACUCCCCAGUAAAGGACAGCUGCUUGGCUCUACAUUGUCAGUGAAAUGUGGCUCUAAAGCUGGCUUAACUAGCCAAGGGAAGAUCCUUCCAGUGCAAGGGGGAUACUCUAGUGGCAUAGAGCCAAUGCAGGGGCUCUCACACCACCCUUCCUCCCUGCUGCCAGUGUAGCAGGAGAAAGAUGGCCUGCCCUGGAUGCCCCUGCACUUGAACUCUACUGCUCUUUAGCUGCAUUUUUAUUCCCUGGGACCAUUGCAGCCUGGUGUAAAUUAGGGGACCUUUCAUGCUACUCCAAGUGCAAAGGGACUAGCCCCUGAAUGAAGAACACAAAGGCUCCUUCAAACAAACCUGCCUGAGAACCUUCACUGGUGUGGAAAGCAAAGGCCAUUUUCCUCUCAUUGCUGGGCUGCUGACAGAUCACUCAGAGCAAGCUGCACUCAAGUAUUAACAAGGCAUCUAUUGAAAGGAAGAGAGCAGGAGAGAUACAAAGCUGCUGCAUGUCCAAACAGUGUUAACAUGGGAGGUGUAAUUCCAAACUGGACCACUGGGCAGCUACUCAUUGUGGCUCCCCCUUGGCAGACCAACACCACUCUGCUAUGUAGGAUGCAGGAAGAAAACACAGGAAGUGAGGCAGGGGCUGCUGGAAAAAAGACUGGGUAGCUCACUGUGACUGGAGAACAUUUCACCUUGAUUGGAUGACUACUGGACAGCCAAAAAACCCAACUGAAAAGGUGUUCAGGCAAGUCAAGGUUGGAAAAGUACUGUAGAGACAACAGACCUGCUCAGGAAGGCUAAGGAGACAGUAAUUUCUCCUGGUAUAAGCCACUGUUUCAGUUUUAUUGAAAUGAAGUUUGUUGCAGCUUCUCAGGCAAGUGUUUCUGUGCUAGACUAUUGCAGCCCUUCCUUCUGUCCACAGUGCAACAGCUGCUGUGCAGAUCAAAGAUAAAAUGGGUGAGGUAGGACUGUAUCAUUCAUGCUGUCCCUUCUGCCCUACAAAAUUGACUAUACUAGGAAAUUGUUCUUAAAUAUCAAUUUUAAAAUAGUUUCCAGUAAUCUGGCAUUGCUCCCUGAAUAGAUGGGGCAUAAUUUGAUUCAAACAGCUUUUGGAAACCAUUCUUGAGACUAGCCAGUUUUAAAAAGUGAUUUUCUAGCUCAGUCUUUUGGAGUGUAACUGGGAUCUUAAGUCUUAGGCCCAUCAACCAGCAGAGGCCAUAUUUACUCCCCCAAAAACAGAGCUAUUGCCAUUGUGUUUCCUAAAAUGGAUAGAUAGAAUACAAACACAGAUCAACCAAAAAGAAAACCUUCUCAAAAUAAAAGUGUGCUAAAACCUAAAGUACACAGGAAUGAACAAUACUCCCUUGUGUCUUCUAUCCUUUCCGCUUGUAUCUAGUACCAGAUACUUCAGAGCAAAGCAUAAACCUCUUUAUUAUUACUAUAGCAUUUAUACUGCAGUACAUCUAGACAUCUCAACCAGUUUGGGAGUCCUGUUGUGCUAUGCCUGCACAGUGCUUAAACUGAGUCCCUGUCCCAGAGAGCUUUCUAUACCAAGUGUUUCUUAGUCAGGGUUGGAUUCCUUUUAGAAAAGGGGAAUUUGAAAAUUAGAAUCCUGUUUGCUUUCUGAGUGAGGCUGUUGAGAAAGCGUCCUGUCUUGUCAGCCGUCUCCCUAUCCCAAAGCACAUUUGACUCCCUCUCUCUGGUUUUCUUGUAUAUGUUUCAGUCCCAAUGACUGACACCUCCAUAUUUCUAUAAUCAAACCUUCGCCACAGUUAACACUAUUUGGCUCUCGCUCUUGUUAUCCUCAGCACAGAAGCCGGUCUCCAUAGUCGACUGGAGUUCUGAAUUCGGGCUCCUGCCCCUAAAGGCAGAUCUCUCCAGGGCAGCAUUGAGGCAGACUG